Long non-coding RNA from Urocitellus parryii (Arctic ground squirrel), 3420 nucleotides. RefSeq lists it as uncharacterized. The record is from RefSeq and is a predicted model, not a curated record. Lineage: Eukaryota; Metazoa; Chordata; Mammalia; Rodentia; Sciuridae.
UGAAGACACCUGGUGUUCUCAUGUCCCAGGUUGCUGGAUGCUGCUUCCUGAUCCUUUGCCCCACAGGAGAUUUCUGUGCGCUUUUCCCAAAAGGACUCAGCUGAGAACUCUACAACAGGUUCAAGUGCUCCCCACCCCCAGCCCCCAGGCAGCGCCAGUCAUCUACGCGUUCUACAGGGAUAAGAUGGGGAUCUUCCUAGAAGCUGGAACCCAUUACCAUUUCUGAUUCCUUAGCGUUCUUUGCAGUGAGCACUUCCUGAAACGAUUUCCCUGAUGUCACCCUCUCCACUGGGUUUCCAUGAUGAAAACUGGAGGUGGGGUCUGAGAAGCCAGUGUGCAGCUUAAUGUCCAGUACCUGCUCAAAGUACUCUUCACCACUCUCAGGCUUUCUGGGCCUCCCUGUCUCAUCUCUCAGCUAAGUCCUUUCUGUGCUCAUCUUGUCUUUGGCAAAGGCUGGGAAGUCUGGUUCUGAUUACAAGGGGUUGGAGCACCGAAUUCCAGUCUGGUGGCAGGAAUAGGCUGUCAAGCAGGGCAUGUUGACAAUGUUUUCUUACCUUGACUAUGCAGAGGGAGGCCCAUCUUGGUACCAAAAGCGGAACCUCCUCUUCCAUGGUCUGGGAUGAACGCAUGCCUGUAGCUGGGUGCACUCAGGUCCUUGGGGUGAGGUAACAGUUAAUAGGGUUUUAAGGGUAUGGGGCUAUCCUGGUGGAAGACCACUGGGUCAGAUAUGAGGAGGGUUUGGGCGCUGGGAACCAGGAAGAGCGGGGGAAGGGGCAGAACCGACUCCAGAGGCGGAUCUCUUGGCUGAGGACAGAGGGUGUAUUGUCCAACUAUGAGGUUGCUGCAGCUGGGCGGGGAGCAGUAGUCUCUUCCAGACUUCUUUUUGGGGAGGCAGGAGGGUGAGAGAAGGCAAGCCCCCCUCCCCCUUCACUUGUGGCCCUAGAGGCUACAAUGGUUGCUGAGAAACUGAGACUUAUUUUGAUAAAUACUGCUUCCCUGGAGCAGAUGUGUAGUGCUCACUUACCAAGAAACCAGAUGUUUUGAGCUUGUAGCACUCCAGGUGGACAAACUGGGACUGUCAUUGCCUUGGGAUCCAGAGCACAGUGUUCGAUUCUGUUAAAAGAAACCAGGCUCUGCCCUAGAGUACAAAAGGCAGCCAGCCCCAUGUCCACCCUUCUGAGGAUAUCCCUUUUGCACUGUCCCCACCUUUGCUAGCUCAGGAUUUACAGGAGGUUGGCAGAGGGCUGACUUGGGGAGGAUCCACGUGGUUAUGUUUGUGGAUGCGACCAUGCCAGAGCCAACUUUAAGUUGCCUCUUGGGAACAGUCCAGGGAGUUCCUACCAUGUGUACCACCAACAUGAGUCUCUUGAUAAGUCUUCCCUACCUUAACCAAGCUUUCCAUUUUUCACCCAGACCUCUUCACAUCUAGAGUGGCUGAAAAGGAACACUGCGAUCUGAGACAGACUCCUGGGGUAGAACUGCAAUAAGCUUUGCCAUAGAGAUUGCACAGGUGCCCAGUUAGCAGUUGCACCAUUGUCUCCCCUGCCUAACUCCACACUUCAGUAGCUUUCGUAUCACAGCCUGUAAUUCCUUAACUCUGCCAGUUUUGGAGAACACCAGUCACUGGACUUGCUAGGAACUAAGAAAGCAGCUGUUUGGACUGGCCAGCAAAGCUACCUGUGUUCCCAGUUCUCCUCACAUCCACUCCUUCCACUUGGCUUCAUCCCCAGACUGGGCUCCUUUCUGUGCUCCACCCAUUUGUGACCUCAGAUUCUCUAUCACUGUCCUAACCCCUUUCCUGCCUUGCAACAAUGACCAGCCUGUCCUUAGUUGUUCGGAAAAUUCCCAUUAAAUCUCAGGUAUGGACUCAGGAGCAGCCUGUCAUCCUGAACUGCAGCCACCAGAGUGAAGCAGCUUGGCCUGGUAGACUGUCAAGUGAGGGUGGGGCCUUGAGGAAGAACUGCCUAAGGAUCACAUCUUAUGACCAGUCCUGUAGCACAGGGCUAUGGGAGUACGUGGCAAUAGAACACAAGGAAAAAUCCAGCAGAGGGAGCCGAGAUGCAAAUUCCCAGUUCUGGGGCCUCAUAAACAUUGAAAUGGAUUUCCUUUGUAACCCCACCCUCUGCCUUUGCACAAAAUGGCAUCCAGUGCUGAAUAACCUGAGAUAGUGGGGGACAGGGAGCAGGUUGACACUGGGAAAUUAAUUUAAAAGCACUAAGUGAGUAUGUCAAAUGAAUUUCAUUCAGCAUUAAAAUGAACUUUAAAGAUCAGAUUUAUUUGGAGAAAACAAAAAACCCACAACCCAAAGGAUGGGAUUUUACAUCUCAACACAUCUUCCAGGUAGUAAGUCUACAGAUUACAAAUCAUUUUCAUAGAAGAUAUUUUUGUACAAAUUUUACAUGUAUUCAGGGUGGGACAAAAGUCAACCCCUGUUUCUAUUUUAACAGGGGCUAGGUAGGGUAGGGGAGUGGGACAAAACAGCACUUUUUUGGGAUAUAACUAUCUGGGAGUAGACAUGAAAAAGGCAAACUCUACCUUUCCAUUAUCUGCAACCAAUCGUUUAAAAAACCUGUUUGAUCUUGGUUCUCUCUAAAAGCCCACUUUAGUUACUAGCUGACCCUGUCAAUUACUUCAGGUUAAUUCCCUGGACAUGCCUUUUGCCCUCUGGGUAAAUGGUUCCUUAUGCCCACUGCUGCAGCACACAGACCAAUACUCUGCAGGCUGGCCAGGCUUUAGACUAAGAUUGAAGGCAGAAGGGCUUGCAAACAAGAGACCAAGGUGUCAUCUGUCUGCAUGUACCAACACUGCCCAUGAGGGGGAAGAAUCCACCUACCUAGUUGACCCCUACAAAGGUGCACAUAAAAGCAGACAAAUUAAGCUACUGUUACAAGAGAAACCAGGACCUUGUUAAAUAGUUCUUUCCAUUAUCAUUUAUUCUCUCAUAGGAAGAUAAAAAACAAACUCCGAAAAGCAAAAUAACCACACAUUGGUCUAGGCCACAUUAUAAAUCCAAGCACUGGUGUGGAAUUUCAGUGGAGAGAAGAAAACUUGUAAAAACCCCCCAAGUCUUAAGAAAGUCUUCCAAUUUAACUGUCUCUGUUUACCCAUCCUUAUUCACCACCCAAGACCAUCAAUUCUAGACUAGUCUGAUCUGUAAGAGGGGUCAAAGCAGCAGGAGCAGGCAUGGAUGGAGGGAAGGAAUGAGAAUCAAAAGACAUCAAGGAGCUGAUUUGUUUGAGAAAAGCAGUGAUUCCUCAGGUCACAGCUUCCAGUGGCUGAGAUGUAAAAUGCCUAAGAGAGCAGAUCCGUGAAUUAAAUGGAUUGCUUUUUAGGAGGUGAAAGUAGUAUGAAGAACAUGAAAUGACAAGAGUCUGAAUUUUUUUUUUAAAGCUUCAAGGUUUCAACAGAAUGUGGAUGUAU